GACGAACGCUGGCGGCGUGCCUAAUACAUGCAAGUAGAACGCUGAAGGGAGAGCUUGCUCUUCUGGAUGAGUUGCGAACGGGUGAGUAACGCGUAGGUAACCUGCCUGGUAGCGGGGGAUAACUAUUGGAAACGAUAGCUAAUACCGCAUAAUAGCAGUUAUUGCAUGAUAACUGUUUGAAAGGUGCAAUUGCACCACUACCAGAUGGACCUGCGUUGUAUUAGCUAGUUGGUGGGGUAACGGCUCACCAAGGCAACGAUGCAUAGCCGACCUGAGAGGGUGAUCGGCCACACUGGGACUGAGACACGGCCCAGGCUCCUACGGGAGGCAGCAGUAGGGAAUCUUCGGCAAUGGACGGAAGUCUGACCGAGCAACGCCGCGUGAGUGAAGAAGGUUUUCGGAUCGUAAAACUCUGUUGUUAGAGAAGAACAAGUGCUAGAGUAACUGUUAGCGCCU
RNAcentral lists this ribosomal RNA (456 nucleotides) under Streptococcus sp. oral taxon F10. Its description in RNAcentral is "bacterial SSU rRNA". It matches the Rfam family "Bacterial small subunit ribosomal RNA", at positions 28 to 477 of the family's 1533-position model. Lineage: Bacteria; Bacillati; Bacillota; Bacilli; Lactobacillales; Streptococcaceae. The record is from RNAcentral.